This 198-nucleotide ribosomal RNA is filed under the name uncultured bacterium. RNAcentral describes it as "partial 16S ribosomal RNA". It matches the Rfam family "Bacterial small subunit ribosomal RNA", at positions 1303 to 1500 of the family's 1533-position model. The record is from RNAcentral.
GGCUGAAAUUCGCCUUCAUGAAGCCGGAAUUGCUAGUAAUGGCAGGUCAGCAUACUGCCGUGAAUACGUUCCCGGGUCUUGUACACACCGCCCGUCACGCCAUGGGAGUUGGGAGUACCCAAAGUCGGCGACCUAACCGCAAGGGAGGAACCGCCUAAGGUAAUACCAAUGACUGGGGUGAAGUCGUAACAAGGUAAC